Molecule: ribosomal RNA, 1182 nt
Filed under: Wolbachia endosymbiont of Baizongia pistaciae
Lineage: Bacteria; Pseudomonadati; Pseudomonadota; Alphaproteobacteria; Rickettsiales; Anaplasmataceae
Description: bacterial SSU rRNA
Rfam family: Bacterial small subunit ribosomal RNA
Source: RNAcentral
CUAAUACCGUAUACGCCCUACGGGGGAAAAAUUUAUUGCUAUUAGAUGAGCCUAUAUUAGAUUAGCUAGUUGGUGGAGUAAUAGCCUACCAAGGCAAUGAUCUAUAGCUGAUCUGAGAGGAUGAUCAGCCACACUGGAACUGAGAUACGGUCCAGACUCCUACGGGAGGCAGCAGUGGGGAAUAUUGGACAAUGGGCGAAAGCCUGAUCCAGCCAUGCCGCAUGAGUGAAGAAGGCCUUUGGGUUGUAAAGCUCUUUUAGUGAGGAAGAUAAUGACGGUACUCACAGAAGAAGUCCUGGCUAACUCCGUGCCAGCAGCCGCGGUAAUACGGAGAGGGCUAGCGUUAUUCGGAAUUAUUGGGCGUAAAGGGCGCGUAGGCGGAUUAGUAAGUUAAAAGUGAAAUCCCAAGGCUCAACCUUGGAAUUGCUUUUAAAACUGCUAAUCUAGAGAUUGAAAGAGGAUAGAGGAAUUCCUAGUGUAGAGGUGAAAUUCGUAAAUAUUAGGAGGAACACCAGUGGCGAAGGCGUCUAUCUGGUUCAAAUCUGACGCUGAGGCGCGAAGGCGUGGGGAGCAAACAGGAUUAGAUACCCUGGUAGUCCACGCUGUAAACGAUGAAUGUUAAAUAUGGGAAGUUUUACUUUCUGUAUUACAGCUAACGCGUUAAACAUUCCGCCUGGGGACUACGGUCGCAAGAUUAAAACUCAAAGGAAUUGACGGGGACCCGCACAAGCGGUGGAGCAUGUGGUUUAAUUCGAUGCAACGCGAAAAACCUUACCACUCCUUGACAUGGAAAUUAUACCUAUUCGAAGGGAUAGGGUCGGUUUGGCCGGGUUUCACACAGGUGUUGCAUGGCUGUCGUCAGCUCGUGUCGUGAGAUGUUGGGUUAAGUCCCGCAACGAGCGCAACCCUCAUCCUUAGUUACCAUCAGGUAAUGCUGGGGACUUUAAGGAAACUGCCAGUGAUAAACUGGAGGAAGGUGGGGAUGAUGUCAAGUCAUCAUGGCCCUUAUGGAGUGGGCUACACACGUGCUACAAUGGUGGCUACAAUGGGCUGCAAAGUCGCGAGGCUAAGCUAAUCCCUUAAAAGCCAUCUCAGUUCGGAUUGUACUCUGCAACUCGAGUGCAUGAAGUUGGAAUCGCUAGUAAUCGUGGAUCAGCACGCCACGGUGAAUACGUUCCCGGG